CGAAUUCGCCCUUCCUACGGGAGGCAGCAGUGGGGAAUAUUGGACAAUGGGCGAAAGCCUGAUCCAGCAAUGCCGCGUGAGUGAUGAAGGCCUUAGGGUUGUAAAGCUCUUUUACCCGGGAUGAUAAUGACAGUACCGGGAGAAUAAGCCCCGGCUAACUCCGUGCCAGCAGCCGCGGUAAUACGGAGGGGGCUAGCGUUGUUCGGAAUUACUGGGCGUAAAGCGCACGUAGGCGGCUUUGUAAGUUAGAGGUGAAAGCCCGGAGCUCAACUUCGGAAUUGCCCUUAAGACUGCAUCGCUUGAAUCAUGGAGAGGUCAGUGGAAUUCCGAGUGUAGAGGUGAAAUUCGUAGAUAUUCGGAAGAACACCAGUGGCGAAGGCGACUGACUGGACAUGUGUUGACGCUGAGGUGCGAAAGCGUGGGGAGCAAACAGGAUUAGAUACCCUAGUAGUCCACGCCGUAAACGAUGAUAACUAGCUGUCAGGGCUCUUAGAGCUUUGGUGGCGCAGCUAACGCGUUAAGUUAUCCGCCUGGGGAGUACGGCCGCAAGGUUAAAACUCAAAGGAAUUGACGG
Molecule: ribosomal RNA, 574 nt
Filed under: uncultured Sphingomonas sp.
Lineage: Bacteria; Pseudomonadati; Pseudomonadota; Alphaproteobacteria; Sphingomonadales; Sphingomonadaceae
Description: bacterial SSU rRNA
Rfam family: Bacterial small subunit ribosomal RNA
Source: RNAcentral